UGUAAACAUCCUACACUCAGCUGUAAUAUAUGAAUUGGCUGGGAGGUGGAUGUUUACUUC
This 60-nucleotide microRNA precursor is filed under the name Otolemur garnettii (small-eared galago). RNAcentral describes it as "microRNA oga-mir-30b precursor". Its record names the gene oga-mir-30b. It matches the Rfam family "mir-30 microRNA precursor family", at positions 1 to 60 of the family's 77-position model. Rfam says of the family: This family consists of the mammalian microRNA (miRNA) precursor mir-30a. The record is from miRBase by way of RNAcentral. Lineage: Eukaryota; Metazoa; Chordata; Mammalia; Primates; Galagidae.